CCAUGUCGCUCAGUUCAACCUCGCCGGCCAACGCGGUCCACCACGUCGCCUGGAUUCCAAUCCAACCCGCCAUCCUGCUCGACCAAGUUCCUCCACCUGUCUCGGCUACUACCUGGACCACCACCUGCCCGGUCAUUGUGGCAUGUGGCUGCCCAGCACAUCGACGCCUGCAAGGUCCAUCCUCUCUCCAUCUUGCUUACCUGUUGUUCCAUGCGGCUGUACUAUGCCCAGUUUCUGUAUUGUUUCUAAGUGACUUUCUUGUCUGAAGUUCAGACAUAUUUGCAGGUGCAAAAAAGUUGGAUGUAGUGAUAUGUUCGUUCAGUUUCACAGGUCCUUCAAUAUAUGCAAAAAAGAGUUUUCUCCAAAAUGCAUCAACGCCGUGAAGUGCUAAUUCUUCUUGUGUGCUUCUGUAAAGCCUUGUGUUUCAGUCACCUCCAUGACGAACCAGCUCGUCCUAUUUUGCAGAAGCAAGUCGCACGAUAGUUUUUAGGCGGAAUGAAGUCCAGAGGUAAUGGGGAAUCAAGAUUCCGAGAUAUUUUUUAGUACAUUCAGAUCACUUUUUCAGUGCACUGCAGCCAAAUCCGUUCUGAAGGCCAAACUGCUGACGUUUUGUUUUGAUUUUAUUUUACAAAGGAAGUUGCUAGCGGUGGUAGAACUUGGGAUUUGGGCACACAAGGAAGAAGACGAAAAAAGAAAAAUGGUGAGUUGGAGAUUGCAUGUUCGUUGCACCGAAGGAUAAUAUCAUUUAGGUUUUAGCUAGAUAACACCUAGUGGGGUAAAAAAAGCAUCGCUUUGUCCAAAAUCCGCUGGUCAACUUUUUGCUCUGUUUAAUGGUUUGGUUCACACACUAAAUUCUUGAUUGUUUCUUUAUGUAUGAGCAUCAGACUUGAUUUAAUUGUGACGUGGUUCACUGACAGUAAUUUUAUCAGUUCAAUAAUAUAUGUACAAGUUGACCUCCUAGCGAUAUAUAUGCAUAGGAAUUUUGUUCUCGGCUUUGUUUAUUGGUGCAUGCGAGAUGUUUUUCAUGUUAUGGACUACCGAAGUAGUUCAAAAAUCACUCACCACGAAGAGAACGGAUGAGCAACGCACAGGCCGUUCAACUUCGCCGCCUCAGGCCGUGCUACUCCGCCCAAGUGAGCAAAAGGGGACUAGUUUCUUCUUAACUUUUAUUCUGCACUUGUAUGGUACAUUUUGUCUCAGUUAUUAGGUGAUUUUUUUCUUUCACUUACAUUGUGUUCAACAAUGCAGAAAAGUUUGCCUACAAACUGUUCCGCCCAAGUGCUAUGCAGCCGGGCCGAGGGAGCAGUGCCAAGCUGCAGCCUUGAUGCUGUUGACAGCCACGUGCUCCAUCACGGGCGGUUCAAAAAUACUAAUGCUAGUCGGCCGUAUAGGUUCAGUAGUGCUAUAAUGCUUUUGGUCUUGAUGUUUGGCCGUACUUGAGGUUCCAUGCUUGAGGUUCAGCUUGGUACAGUAUAUGGGAGCAGUUUGGAUUUGGUAUUUUUCUACAAUUUGGCACCAUGUUAUAUGUAUUUUAAACUGCACAAAGUAUAUAACACUUAAGAGUCAAAUUUGUUUUGCAAGUGCGGAUGCUCCAUAGGUGCUUGUUGUAAUCCAAAACCCAUUGAAAACACAGUAGAGUUCGUAUGUUUAAAAAGCCUUGGAAACCAAAAACGAAAUUCAACAAACAAAAAUACUCGCGAGUUCUUUGCAAAAACCACAUGAAGUUUAAUUAGUAUAAUUUUAGAGGUUCAAGUAAUAUGAGAACGCUAGAAGUUCACAGAAGGAAAAUACUGGCGUGGCUUCGCACCAUCCC
This 1813-nucleotide long non-coding RNA is filed under the name Triticum aestivum (bread wheat). RNAcentral's name for it is "long non-coding RNA (TAES_LNC023235)". Lineage: Eukaryota; Viridiplantae; Streptophyta; Magnoliopsida; Poales; Poaceae. The record is from RNAcentral.